Chiloscyllium plagiosum (whitespotted bambooshark) is the source of this 560-nucleotide non-coding RNA. The record is from RefSeq and is a predicted model, not a curated record. NCBI's taxonomy places the organism in Eukaryota, Metazoa, Chordata, Chondrichthyes, Orectolobiformes, Hemiscylliidae.
AUUAAACCAAUUAGAAGAGCAAAUAAAGAAGCUAGAAAUAGAUUAAGUAAGCAAACAGCAUUGGGUAGAAAAUUCUGAUAGGGAACUGGAGCAGAAAAAGAGUAAUGGAGUGAGGUGCUUGUGAAUUCUGUGCUGCUAGGAUACUCUAAGAAAAUGUCCAGUACACAGAUAUUUCUCAUUUUAUUCUGCUCAUGUGCUUUGGGACAUGAAAAAUGAUCCUGACAGAGGCAAGGUUACUCAUCUAUAUGCUUGACUGGGCAAUGAAUCAUGGCAAGCCAAUGUAUGAAAGAAAUUAUCAAAUGCCUUAAUGAUCCAGAGAUCAAGAAGGUAAUCUGCUUAAGCCCCCUCUGUGCUGCCAGAGAUGAUCCUCACCAGAAUUGGAACAACAUGGUACAAGUGCCUCAGCAAUUUUGAGUUGCAGGUGCCAUUUUGUUGGUGACCAGAUCCAAAAUGCAAAAUAAUUUCAACUGUGCUAGGAAGGGCUAGGAUGACGAACAAAGCAGAAGGCAACUUAUAGAUCAGCCAGAACAAGUCAUAAACAGCAAAAAAGAACUAUUACA